Molecule: small nuclear RNA, 23 nt
Filed under: Arabidopsis thaliana (thale cress)
Lineage: Eukaryota; Viridiplantae; Streptophyta; Magnoliopsida; Brassicales; Brassicaceae
Description: snRNA_11113
Source: RNAcentral
UCUUUUUAAAUUAAAGUUAGGUU